RNAcentral lists this long non-coding RNA (371 nucleotides) under Homo sapiens (human). Its description in RNAcentral is "HSALNT0251286". Lineage: Eukaryota; Metazoa; Chordata; Mammalia; Primates; Hominidae. The record is from RNAcentral.
UCUUGUUGGCACAUUCCAUGCAGAAGAGGUUGUGGCCACAUGGAACUAGGGCAGCAAUAACCUCAUUCUCAAAGCAAAUCACACAGUCGUGCUUUCGUCUUGAUUCUGGAGGUGAGCUAGAGGUGGAACCACCAUUGGAAGAGGAGUAACUAUUGGUACCAUUAGAAAAAGCAGGGAUAUAUAUUGGAAGGCCAACAUGGUUGCCUGUACUAGGUGGGUCGCUCCUAACCCUCCGAGCAAGUGGAUGUUCUAUGCUCUCAGGAAAUGUAGGAGACAGACGAGGAGUAGAUGGCUGACUUCCUCUGCGCUGAGUCUUCAUGUUACCAGAAGGAUCACUCCCAAAGCCAGAGAGUGGGUUAACUGGUUCAAAU